GGAUGGAUCAUUAUCGGUUUAUCCCACGUUUCGUCAACCGCGAACUGUUUACCUUUAGUUGUAGGAUUGAGUUACCGCUGCUUUGUGUCUUUAAUUGAUGCUAUAGUGGCGUAACGGUCUCUUUUUUCUCGUCCUAGGGAUUUUUGGAGGAGACUUAAGUAGCUCGGCUGAUUGUUGCCCUACGCGCAGCAGGGUGAUGGUUAGUUAAUUUGUGGGAUUUGAGAUGGACUAUUAUUGAGGAUAUGCGCAUCUUUGAUGAGAACAAUCUUAAGUCUUGGCGAGGUCGUUAAUUCGACUAAUAUGAUCCUAUGGCUAAUUGUAAGUAACAAUAAAUCUGUACGGACCAAAUUGAGAUCGGGGUGAACGAAGAUGGAUUACGAAUCCGAAAGGAAUUGUGAUUCAUUUUGAUUACCUCUUGAACUCAGUUUUUCUCCUACCCUAUGAACGAUUCAAACGUACAUACAAUUGACUGACCUACUUCUUUCAGCUGAAAGGCAGAAAGAAUGAUAUUACGAAACUAAGUACAACUCUUAGCAACGGAUAUCUCGGUUCUCGUAACGAUGAAGAACGCAGCGAAAUGCGAUACGUAAUGCGAAUUGCAGAAUUCAGUGAAUCAUCAAAUCUUUGAACGCAAAUUGCGCUUCUAGUUCAACUAUGAAGCAUACUUCUUUGAGUAUCGUUUUCACCUCAGCUCGACUGCGUGUCGGAAAAUGAGUGUCUCGUUUGCUUUAAUUAGUGAAUGGGUCGCUUUAAGUGCAUUGACAUACAUUUAAUCCUAAUUCUAGUAUUCUCCGGUGCAUUAGUAUCAGACGGGAGUCCUUUCGGGGAUUCCAGGCUGCUAUUGUAUAAAAGCUCCAGAUGCAGAGUGGGACGUGGAUAGAGAUCUUUCGAUUUUAAUUCACGGGGAUUCUGUGGUGCUGUAUUGAGCUAGUGCGAUGGUAGCUGUUUGAGAAUGUGCUAAGGAGUUAGUCAUUCAGUUGGUAUUAGAGUUAAUACGAUGUAUGGUUUGGGAAUAAAUUAACCUUUUGAAUUAGAUCUCAAAUGAAGUAAGAACACCCGCUGAACUUAAGCAUAUUAUUAAGCGGAGGAAAAGAAACUAACAAGGAUGCCCUCAGUAACGGCGAGUGAAGCGGGCAAAGCUCAACCUGAAAAUCGGGUUCCCAAACGGGAGUUCGAAUUGUGGGCUAGAGAUGCUGGAUCAGUGUGUGACCUAGGUAUAACUCUUUUGAAACAAGGGAUCAUAGAGGGUGAGAAUCCCGUCUGUGACCUAGAGUUCGCCGCGUACGAUCCGUAUUCACAGAGUCGAGUUGUUUGGGAUUGCAGCUCUAAAUGGGUGGUAAAUUUCAUCUAAAGCUAAAUACCGACGAGAGACCGAUAGCGAACAAGUACCGUGAGGGAAAGAUGAAAAGAACUUUGAAAAGAGAGUUAAAAAGUACUUGAAAUUGCUAAGAGAGAAGCACUGGAAACCAGUCGUGAUUCGCGUGGAUACUUACUAGUAUGCCUUUGCUCGAGUCUUUGUGUUUGGAGCCCAAAGCCCCGAUACGUUGGCUCUUGUUUGGGUUGCUGGGUCCUGUCCUGUGAAUCGGAUCAGAAUCAGUUUGACUCGUGAGAGAAAGCUAUGGCAUCGUUGGGGGUGGAAGGCUUGCUUUCCUAACUCGGGAGCUGUAGUGCUAUCAUGGAUUAGACUGAGGGACAAUCGAAAUGCGCACCACUAGGUUAUCGGCUCCCAAACCCUGGAUUGUUAGUUGGUUUGUACAACAAGUUGUGCGGUCGGCGAAACUUUCUACUGGAAUGGAUGAGACCAGAAGCUGCAUUCGAGAUUCUGAUGAAAUGGUUUUCAUUGACCCGUCUUGAAACACGGACCAAGGAGUCUAACAUAUAUGCGAGUAUUUGGGCCUAGAAACCCUUAUGCGCAAUGAAAGUAAAGGAAGUCUUAGGAUUUCUGAGGUAGGAACCUGCGUCUUCGGCCGCAGGGGCACUAUCGACGAUCAGUCACUUGUGGCAGAUUUGAGUAUGAGCAUAUCUGUUGGGACCCGAAAGAUGGUGAUCUAUGCCUGAACAGGGCGAAGCCAGGGGAAACUCUGGUGGAGGCUCGUAGCGAUACUGACGUGCAAAUCGUUCGUCUGAUUUGGGUAUAGGGGCGAAAGACUAAUCGAACCAUCUAGUAGCUGGUUCCCUC
This 2179-nucleotide unclassified non-coding RNA is filed under the name uncultured fungus. RNAcentral's name for it is "sequence contains 18S rRNA gene, ITS1, 5.8S rRNA gene, ITS2, 28S rRNA gene". The stretch from base 1033 to 2179 matches the Rfam family "Eukaryotic large subunit ribosomal RNA", at positions 1 to 961 of the family's 3401-position model. The record is from RNAcentral. Lineage: Eukaryota; Fungi.